UACAGAGACUAGGGUGUGUGAACAAUGCAUCAACUGUAGAGUCACUUACAACAACAUCUCACCUGAAAGACACAAGGAGGUUAAGCAACUUGCUCAGGGUCACACAAUGAGUCAGUGGCUCAGUUGAAGCUGUCGGCUUCAAUCAGGCAAGGGAUCUGAUCUGGACAGGAACAGGGAUUCCAGCGCAGUCCAGUACAAUUGACGACGGGCCGAUUUACAGACGAGUAGCGAUUGGGAAGCUGCAGCCAAGGAGCCAGCACACAAAUCCCGGAACACCACUACCUCUGCACAGCAC
Long non-coding RNA from Acipenser ruthenus (sterlet), 295 nucleotides. RefSeq lists it as uncharacterized. The transcript has 3 exons. Lineage: Eukaryota; Metazoa; Chordata; Actinopteri; Acipenseriformes; Acipenseridae. The record is from RefSeq and is a predicted model, not a curated record.